CAGAGCCACGGUAAUACAGAGGGUGCGAGCGUUAAUCGGAUUUACUGGGCGUAAAGCGUGCGUAGGCGGCUUUUUAAGUCGGAUGUGAAAUCCCUGAGCUUAACUUAGGAAUUGCAUUCGAUACUGGGAAGCUAGAGUAUGGGAGAGGAUGGUAGAAUUCCAGGUGUAGCGGUGAAAUGCGUAGAGAUCUGGAGGAAUACCGAUGGCGAAGGCAGCCAUCUGGCCUAAUACUGACGCUGAGGUACGAAAGCAUGGGGAGCAAACAGGAUUAGAUACCCCGGUAGUCCCUGUCUCUUAUACA
RNAcentral lists this ribosomal RNA (301 nucleotides) under uncultured bacterium. Its description in RNAcentral is "partial 16S ribosomal RNA". It matches the Rfam family "Bacterial small subunit ribosomal RNA", at positions 509 to 808 of the family's 1533-position model. The record is from RNAcentral.